UUUCCGUAGGUGAACCUGCGGAAGGAUCAUUACUGAGUGAGGGCCCUCUGGGUCCAACCUCCCACCCGUGUUUAUUAUACCUUGUUGCUUCGGUGAGCCCGCCUCACGGCCGCCCGGGGGCAUCUGCCCCCGGGCCCGCGCCCACCGAAGGCACCUAGAACUCUGUAUGAAGAUUGCAGUCUGAGCAAAAACUAAAUAAGUUAAAACUUUCAACAACGGAUCUCUUGGUUCCGGCAUCGAGAAGAACGCAGC
This 252-nucleotide unclassified non-coding RNA is filed under the name plant metagenome. RNAcentral's name for it is "partial contains small subunit ribosomal RNA, internal transcribed spacer 1, and 5.8S ribosomal RNA". The record is from RNAcentral.